RNAcentral lists this ribosomal RNA (305 nucleotides) under uncultured bacterium. RNAcentral's name for it is "bacterial SSU rRNA". It matches the Rfam family "Bacterial small subunit ribosomal RNA", at positions 335 to 658 of the family's 1533-position model. The record is from RNAcentral.
AUCCUACGGGGGGCAGCAGUGGGGAAUAUUGCACAAUGGGGGAAACCCUGAUGCAGCGACGCCGCGUGAGUGAAGAAGUAAUUCGUUAUGUAAAGCUCUAUCAGCAGGGAAGAAAAUGACGGUACCUGAGUAAGAAGCCCCGGCUAACUACGUGCCAGCAGCCGCGGUAAUACGUAGGGGGCAAGCGUUAUCCGGAUUUACUGGGUGUAAAGGGAGCGUAGACGGCAGUGCAAGUCCGGAGUGAAAGCCCGGGGCUCAACCCUGGGACUGCUCUGGAAACUGCAAAGCUGGAGUGCGGGAGGGGG